This 253-nucleotide ribosomal RNA is filed under the name uncultured bacterium. RNAcentral describes it as "partial 16S ribosomal RNA". It matches the Rfam family "Bacterial small subunit ribosomal RNA", at positions 524 to 776 of the family's 1533-position model. The record is from RNAcentral.
UACGUAGGAAGCGAGCGUUGUUCGGAAUUACUGGGCGUAAAGAGUGUGUAGGCGGGGCUCUAAGUUCGGUGGGAAAUCUCCUGGCUCAACCGGGAGGGUGCGCCGAAUACUGAGGGACUCGAGUGCGGGAGAGGAAAGUGGAAUUCCUGGUGUAGCGGUGAAAUGCGUAGAUAUCAGGAGGAACACCGGUGGUGUAGACGGCUUUCUGGACCGUAACUGACGCUGAGACACGAAAGCGUGGGUAGCAAACAGG